RNA transcript from Cryptomeria japonica (Japanese cedar), 1801 nucleotides. It is a transcript of the gene named NAC domain-containing protein 96, with no coding region annotated. The transcript is spliced from 7 exons. The record is from RefSeq and is a predicted model, not a curated record. Lineage: Eukaryota; Viridiplantae; Streptophyta; Pinopsida; Cupressales; Cupressaceae.
GUGAAUUUACUCGCUCAACGAAAUCUCAGGCAAUCUCCAAACUGUUUAUGCAAGGAAUUAACAAGCCUGGGGUUUUCAAGGCGAUUGGCACAGGAUAACAAUUUGCAGGCUUUUCAACUUGUAAAUGGACGUGGUUGAAUAAGAGGAUUGAUCGAUCGACUGAAUAAGAUUUGAGUCGAAUUCGAUUGCUUUUGAGUUAUGGGGCCGACAAGCUUGCCUCCAGGGUUCAGAUUUCAUCCCACAGAUGAGGAGUUGGCUGAUUAUUAUUUGAAAAGAAAAGUUCAUGGCCAGAAGAUCGAACUUGAAGUCAUUCCUGAGGUUGAUCUUUACAAAUGCGAGCCCUGGGAUUUACCUGAGAAAUCUUUCCUCCCAAGUAGUGAUAUGGAAUGGUACUUUUUUAAUUUGAGAGACAAAAAGUAUCCUAACGGUUUACGAACAAAUCGAGCAACAGAAGCAGGUUAUUGGAAGGCUACAGGAAAGGACCGUAAGGUUAGCUCUCAUAUGCAUUACAUAGGAAUGAAAAAGACUCUUGUAUUUUAUACAGGCCGUGCUCCUCAUGGUUCUCGAACAAAUUGGAUCAUGCAUGAAUAUCGUCUUGAUGAAAAAGAAUGUGGAAAUUCAAAUUAUUUACAGGACGCUUAUUCUUUGUGUCGAGUCUUCAAGAGAAGUGGACCAGAGCCCAGAUAUGGCAAACAACAAGAAGAGUCAGUUGAUGAAAUUAGUAAUUUGUAUAACGACAUAUAUACAGUGCCCCAAGAAUUAUCAUCAGUAAAAAUUGAGGACAGCAACCAAACAAAUUCAUUUAUUCCAUCCGAAUCCUCUUCUGAAAUGAUGAGCGACAAUGCAGUUGCAAAUAGAUGGUUACACUUUGGGGCUGAUGAAACAGAGAGCUGCAGCAUUUACCAAUCACCCAAUGAGUCUACAAGCUGCCAGCCCAAUGUUGAGAAGAAAACUAGAUUUGAAUAUGAGCAUUCUGCAGCAGUAACAUCAGAUAUUGAAGGGCUAACUCUCUCCGAGUCGGGGAUGCUGGGUACAUGCUUUGAACAAUUCAAUCCAUCUGAUGCAGAAGAAGAAGACAUGGUAGAACAGAUUUACCGAGAUGCACAACUAUCUCAGAAGAAUAACUAUGCAAACCAACUUGAUGAUUUCCCAUCUGUGAGAGGCUUAGAAAGUUAUGAGAAGAAACCCAAUACGCCACAAGAACAUGAAGUUGGUUUAUUUCCAUUGUUUAUCCAAGAUUUGCAAGAUGAUAAUCUUGUAGAUCUGUUUGACAUGGAGAAACAACCUCUCUUCUUUUAACAAUUUUAGUUUGCACCAGAGUUUAGAUUCAGAGGAUAUUGUAGAGUAGCCUUUAUCGACGUUCUUGUAGAUGACGUUUAAAACCAGCUAGAGAGUAGUGGCAAUGACUUUCUAUCAGGUAACGAAAACCUAGCCAUAUGAAUUUGCAGACCCUAGCGGUGGAAGAAUACACAGCUUAUCAGCAACUUCCAUGCCCAGCUUAACUCUUGAAAAGAAGCCUUCUAAGAUGGACAUAUGUUUCAAUUUGAUGGAAAGUGAUUUGCUGAAGUAGAAAACAGCCAGUCAAUUUUGUUGGAAUAAGUCGUAAUCAGUCCCACACUGCAUGAGAACCGUCAUCUUGCGUAGUCUUGCAUGACAAAAAAAUAUAGUUGAUAUUAGGGUUAUGUAGCUAUUGUAAUGCAUUCUUUAUCUUUAUUUCUGAUCAGAUGUUCAAAUUCUAUGAUGUAAAAAACCUAUAAAAUAAUUAUUUUUUGUGUUUAUAAAUGUAACAAUUUAUGUGUUU